AAAAUAAGGAUUCAAAAGAGAGAAAAUAGGAGAGAAACUCAUUCCCGUUUUUCUGUAAUCUGUCUCACUAAAUUGACGAUCCAUGAUUCGUUAAGCUUCAGAUCAAGCUCAAAUUUGGAGGGAAAGUUCGUAACACAUGUACCUAACUUUUGACUGUCAGAGUUUCAAAAUAACAGAUAUAAAAUUCCCCAUACUUGUAGGAACCUUGAGGAUCCAUAACAAAUAUAAGACGACAAAUCGAAC
This 243-nucleotide long non-coding RNA is filed under the name Lathyrus oleraceus (garden pea). Its description in RNAcentral is "Pisum sativum (pea) long non-coding RNA (PSAT_LNC026462)". Lineage: Eukaryota; Viridiplantae; Streptophyta; Magnoliopsida; Fabales; Fabaceae. The record is from RNAcentral.